AACAAAAACGUUAACAUUUCAUCCACAGGUUGUCACAUGUGUUCACUGUGUGAUGACAGCGUUACGUCUGCACGCAGUACACUGGCAUGUCAGCGCUAACAUGCUAACGCGGAGCAGAUACACACCGAGCUAGCCAGCGUUAGCUUCAUGUUGUAAACAACCAUGGAGACUGGCUAACGAUACAUGCCACGUAUUUAGCUUGACAACCAGCGCUACCCUUUAGUAACGAGACAGAUUAGUCGUGGAAGAGCACAGCUGGGAUGUAAAAGCCUGAAAAGCAAUGACAUGAAGGGCGGCUGUCAGACAGAGACCGAGGCAGCCAGAGAAGUUCUUGGUGCUACUAUAGCUGACAGCAGGAGGGGGGGGGUUGUUGCCGUGAUUGGACGAGCGACCACAGACGCCCGUCAUGCAGAGAGGGGCAGCCGGGCUCACAGGUGCACAGCAUCUGACAGAUAAUAGCAGAUAAAAUGCGGGCUAACCUGCAGCUUGCUCCUCGCUGAGGGAGGGGAAACCUGUGGUGGUGGGUGUGCGAGUUAGACGAGGAGGGGGCAGGGACACGUUGAGGGGCUCUGACAACUAACAGCCUUUACUUAACCACACACCAGCCAGAAAAGACACAUAUUCACACACAAACACAGGAGUCAAGGACAGACAAGGUCACAAUCCCAAAUCCCUCCACCGAAUCUCUCCUGCAGCUUACUGUACACAUGGAAGAGGUUAAGAUUGAUUUGGGGCUUAAUACAAAGUGUUUGCGCAGCUGUUGUGUCUGAAAAAACACAUCAAAACCCAGCAGUCGUCUUAUUAGCUUUUUUUUCUCUCUUCGCUGUUUCUUGCUGCUCUUUUAUUACCCUUGUAUUAAUUCCAGUUGAAAGAGCUGUGAGUCUCCCAAGUACAAUAAAAUGUGUUUAUUGCACUGAGCCUUUUCACUUGUGUCUUCAUUUUAUUUCAUGUUUUUAUUCAUUUCCAAAUCUGCUUUUCAACUUAGCAAGCAAAUCUAAACUAAAUGCAAACACUAUUUCAUUUGUUCAAGAUAUAUAAACAUUGACCCAAACUUAUUUACAUCUGAAGUAAAAGAAAAACAACAACGGAACAUUUGACUGCAGUCAUUUCACCUUAUGUUAAUUAUCUCAAAUCUUCCUGGCACUAACUGGCCAGGUUGCUUGCUACACUCCACACAUAGAAAAUACAUUGUAAAAAAUAUAGAAUCACAACAUCUCACGUCCUGUCUUUUAACAGGACACGCAUACACCCCCUGUGUAAAAGUAUGCCACAUGUCACGCAUCUCCUCUGCCUGUCCAGAUGCAGGAUGCCAGCUGACGUGACGAUGGGAAACAGUCUGUGUGUCACUGCUGAAACACAUUAAGUUCUGUGGAGGAGAAAACAGUCAGGACGAAUCUGGCAAUCAGCUGCAGUGUGGCCUGAGACACACAACCUGACAACUUCUGUUCUCUCUGGGCUGCUUGCGACAAAGAGACAGGCAGGCAGGAGGGGGGUUAAAGGUGCUUUUUUUUUUUUUACUGUCCCAAAUAUUAACUCACUACAUUUGCAGGAGUCUGCUGAAGCUUUCAGUAGAAACACUGAAGCUGAAACUGACUGCCGACCCACCAGUGAAAGCAGAGCAAUUAAAGGCAGAGUAUCCGUACAGAAAUCAAUAAAGUCUAUAAUGUUUUUUUAUACAUACAGGACUCUGCAUGAGCAUAUGUGCUCUAGAAACAGAUCUGACAGAAGGAGGCACGGACUGAGAAAAGGUAGAUAAUGACCUUGACCUUGGCAGUGGGUAACUACUGGCAACACAUAAACCUGCAUUAAAUAUUCUCAUAAGAGCAAUUUGGCAGAAUGGCAGGUUAUAACAUGAUCCAUUUUCUCAUUAUAAGUCACACAUAUCCAUAUUGUUUGCCCAGAAGCUACAAUAUUUAGCAUCGUCUAGGCUCUAAAGCACAGAGGAUGCAGUAGGUUGUGAAUAACUGUGAUGCAGCGGUUGUUUGGAGGGAUAAAGUCCUGGCCCCACACACACACAGAACCACACACACACACACACACACACACACACACACACACACACACACACACACACACACACACACACACACACACACACACACACACACACACACACACACACACACACACACACA
This is a long non-coding RNA of Labrus mixtus (cuckoo wrasse), 2135 nucleotides long. RefSeq lists it as uncharacterized. The record is from RefSeq and is a predicted model, not a curated record. Lineage: Eukaryota; Metazoa; Chordata; Actinopteri; Labriformes; Labridae. The transcript has 2 exons.